GGGUCAGUAGGUUGGUCGUGCCACCGGUACGUACUGGUCUCACUGAUUCCUCCUUCCUGAAGAACCGUAAUGCCAUUAAUUUGGUGUUGCGGGGAAGCAGGACUGUUACUUUGAAAAAAUUAGAGUGUUUAAAGCAAGCUAACGCUUGAAUACAUUAGCAUGGAAUAAUGAAAUAGGACGAUCGAUCCUAUUUUGCUGGUUUCUAGGAUUGACGUA
This 216-nucleotide ribosomal RNA is filed under the name Glomeromycotina sp. RNAcentral describes it as "partial small subunit ribosomal RNA". The stretch from base 40 to 216 matches the Rfam family "Eukaryotic small subunit ribosomal RNA", at positions 686 to 864 of the family's 1831-position model. Lineage: Eukaryota; Fungi; Glomeromycota. The record is from RNAcentral.